RNAcentral lists this long non-coding RNA (2321 nucleotides) under Nicotiana benthamiana. Its description in RNAcentral is "long non-coding RNA (NBEN_LNC023527)". The record is from RNAcentral. Lineage: Eukaryota; Viridiplantae; Streptophyta; Magnoliopsida; Solanales; Solanaceae.
ACACUUGAAAGAAUCUAUAUCAGUCUUCAAGGUUGAGGACAUAAACUAAUUAAACAAAAUACUGAUGAUAUUAGUUGUGCAAGUCUUUAGUAUUUUCUCAUUCAUUUUCUGGCUUGUGAUCAGAAAUCAGUUAGAAUGCCUAGGUUGCUUUCUCUACAGCAUAUGUUUCAUUUCUCGCAAGAUAAAUCCCUUGGUGCGGACUCAUUCUAUUCCAAAUAUUAGUACCGUUCAUUUUAUUACUGAUGCAUUUCUUAAAGGUGUUUUCAUCUUUGCCUUAAUUACUCUCUUACUACAUGAUAUGCUUGACUGGAAUCAGAAAUCAUAGAGAAUUAACAAGACAUGGCUUGUGUUAUUGUAGUUGAGACGCAAACUGAAAAUAGUACAUGGCUUCUGCUGCAAAUCCGUUUCUUUUGUUGGAUUUUGCCGAGUUUAGUCAUCAUAUCUAUAGCUAUUAAUUAGUUUGAACUUAGGCAAAACCUUGAAGGUUUUCUAUGCAGUUUAAGCUACUUGUGCAAAACAUUAGGUUGUUCAUGAAGUUUAAGCAGAUUUAUAGGUAAUUUCUUUUGAUGUAUUCCAUGAGGUAUUUAUGUCAAGGGCUGCUUUGAAUAUAUCUUGAAAGAAGGAUUUCUUUGUUUUCUAGGAUUUAGACUCCUUGAAGUUGUUAAGCCGGAAUAUAUGGAGUCAUGCCAAUAAAUCGAGAGCUUUUAUUUGCACAUAGAAUCUAAUGCCGUUGAUUAUUAACUUUCGCAUACUCCUUUUCAAUGUGUGGUUAAUCCAAGUUACCAGUAUUAUGUUACAAGCUUCAAAUUGUUCUUUAGCAUAACAUCAUCACAUUCCUUUCAUCCUUGUCCUUCAACAUCUGGAAAAAAAGUCAUAGGCAAAUGGUCAUGGACUGAUCUUCACGACAUACUCGUGUCUAGAGCUAGCAAGAAUUAGUACUCUCUUUGCUAGUCUAUGUAGGAGGAAGCUCAUACCCUCAAAGAAAGACACUAUAUGUAUCAUCUUUAACAGAAUUUUGUAUUUUUCAUAAAAAACAUAGUUUUAUAUCAAAUCAGGGAACUCUGAAGGUGGGCAUGGCGAACACGUUUACACUUCUCUGGCCGGUUGCUUCUGUUCCCUAAUUGUUACUUAUACAUACCACAAUUAAUCAGUGAGUUCACUUUUCGUCUUAAACUACGAAUAUUUUCGACUUCUUUCUUAAUAGUUGUAUCUGGAAUAGAAUAUUUCUUCUUUUCCUUAUGGAUGUAGUUGGAUGCCUUGCUCAAAGGCAGUGAAACAUCUCGGCUUGGUGAUAUAAGUAUGCAAAAACUCUCAUUUUCCUUAGUAGUUGUCUUUGUUUUAGUUUUUGUUUUUUUUACAAGUAUAACUCUUAUUGUUUAUCAUUUCUUGUUGAUUAAUCUGGCUAGGUGCAGGAUGUGGUGAUUAAUCGCAAUAACCUGCAGUAUCUUGAAUUACAGACAUUGUCACCAAAUUGAGUGGAGCUACUUUGGAGUGUGGAUACACCAGUGCUAAAACAUCCGACGUUACGUGCCCGGUCUCUCUCUUGGUUGGUUUUUGAAUCUUGAGGUAGUGCACAUAAAUGGCGGUCUUGCAACAUAGCUCGCCGUAUAGAUCCUUUCUUGCAGUUGAAAAACACAGAUAUAAUUAUCUGCCUGUCCUCCGAGUCGAUACUAUUUCUGUUACUACUCUUGCAUUAAAGCCUUCUUCAGGAAUCAAAGAAUGAUUUCCUUAUGUUACAGCCAGGUUCACAUGGUAUUCUAACAGAAGCAAUUCAAAGGGGAAGGUAAUACCUUUUUGCUGGUGUAUUUUUCACCUUUUAUUAUGAAGGCAAGCAAGUGAGAUGAAGUUAAGUUGUCACAGCUAUAGAGUCGUAUACCAAAAUACAAGUCUUGCUGAUAGUAAAUUUUAUUAUUGGGUUCCUCACUUGCCAGAAAAAUAGAAGAAACAGGAGGAUAAUAAGUCACUUGCUUUGAGGGGAAAAUUGUCCCUUAAAUUCUUAGGACUCUUCCUGUUUUGAUUUGAGUUGGUUUUACCUAAAAGGUAGACCAAUUACUGUCGUUCUGAUGAUUUAUAGAUAGCCAAACAUGAAACCAGGUUGUUCAUUCUCGGUUUUGUUUGGUUUAUUUACGAGUCACAUGUAAUAUGAAUUCAAUCUGUUAGAAGUACUUACAUUUAAAAUUUAUUAUAUCCAUGUAUGUUUGCAAGAAUUGUUUUGAAAAAAUAAAUGAACAUAUGAGAAUGUGCAGGAGGUCCCUGUUUUUGUAUUGCAUUUUCAUCCUCUGGAUGCCAAUUAAUGAAAUUAUAUUGUUGCCUGAUCAAAA